AGUGAACGCUGGCAGUAGGCCUAACACAUGCAAGUCGAACGGCAGCACAGUAAGAGCUUGCUCUUACGGGUGGCGAGUGGCGGACGGGUGAGGAAUACAUCGGAAUCUACUUUUUCGUGGGGGAUAACGUAGGGAAACUUACGCUAAUACCGCAUACGACCUACGGGUGAAAGCAGGGGAUCUUCGGACCUUGCGCGAUUGAAUGAGCCGAUGUCGGAUUAGCUAGUUGGCGGGGUAAAGGCCCACCAAGGCGACGAUCCGUAGCUGGUCUGAGAGGAUGAUCAGCCACACUGGAACUGAGACACGGUCCAGACUCCUACGGGAGGCAGCAGUGGGGAAUAUUGGACAAUGGGCGCAAGCCUGAUCCAGCCAUACCGCGUGGGUGAAGAAGGCCUUCGGGUUGUAAAGCCCUUUUGUUGGGAAAGAAAAGCAGCAGGUUAAUACCCCGCUGUUCUGACGGUACCCAAAGAAUAAGCACCGGCCAACUUCGUG
RNAcentral lists this ribosomal RNA (492 nucleotides) under uncultured bacterium. RNAcentral describes it as "partial 16S ribosomal RNA". It matches the Rfam family "Bacterial small subunit ribosomal RNA", at positions 29 to 507 of the family's 1533-position model. The record is from RNAcentral.